This 584-nucleotide ribosomal RNA is filed under the name Candida albicans. RNAcentral's name for it is "partial large subunit ribosomal RNA". It matches the Rfam family "Eukaryotic large subunit ribosomal RNA", at positions 73 to 671 of the family's 3401-position model. The record is from RNAcentral. Lineage: Eukaryota; Fungi; Ascomycota; Pichiomycetes; Serinales; Debaryomycetaceae.
GAUGGCCUCCGUAAGGGCGGGGGGUACGCCAGUGCUAAAAACAUGAGAUUAACAAUUCCGGGGGCUGAGUCGUAACUUGAGGAGGGUAAUUUCGGGUUCUGGCCCUUGUUCUGUUCCUGGAACAGGACGUCAUAGAGGGUGAGAAUCCCGUCUGAGGAGAUGCCCACUCCUAUGUAAGGUGCUAUCGAAGAGUCGAGUUUGUUUGGGAAUGCAGCUCUAAGUGGGUGGUAAAUUCCAUCUAAAGCUAAAUAUUGGCGAGAGACCGAUAGCGAACAAGUACAGUGAUGGAAAGAUGAAAAGAACUUUGAAAAGAGAGUGAAAAAGUACGUGAAAUUGUUGAAAGGGAAGGGCAUUAGAUCAGACUUGGUGUUUUACGAUUAUCUUCUCUUCUUGAGUUGUGCACUCGUAUUUCACUGGGCCAGCAUCGAUUCGGAUGGCAAGAUAAGGCAGUUGAAUGUGGCUUCACUUCGGUGGAGUGUUAUAGCUUCUGCUGAUAUUGCCUGUCUGGAUCGAGGGCUGCGUCUUUUGACUAGGAUGCUGGCGUAAUGAUCUAAUGCCGCCCGUCUUGAAACAACGGACCCGAG